This 76-nucleotide transfer RNA is filed under the name Thermoplasmatales archaeon BRNA1. Its description in RNAcentral is "tRNA-Val (CAC) (tRNA-Val-CAC-1-1)". It matches the Rfam family "tRNA". From Rfam's summary of the family: Transfer RNA (tRNA) molecules are approximately 80 nucleotides in length. Their secondary structure includes four short double-helical elements and three loops (D, anti-codon, and T loops). Further hydrogen bonds mediate the characteristic L-shaped molecular structure. tRNAs have two regions of fundamental functional importance: the anti-codon, which is responsible for specific mRNA codon recognition, and the 3' end, to which the tRNAs corresponding amino acid is attached (by aminoacyl-tRNA synthetases). tRNAs cope with the degeneracy of the genetic code in two manners: having more than one tRNA (with a specific anti-codon) for a particular amino acid; and 'wobble' base-pairing, i.e. permitting non-standard base-pairing at the 3rd anti-codon position. The record is from RNAcentral. RNAcentral also lists the same sequence under 7 other names. Lineage: Archaea; Methanobacteriati; Thermoplasmatota; Thermoplasmata; Thermoplasmatales.
GGACUCAUGGUCUAGGGGUUAUGACGUCGCCUUCACACGGCGGAGGUCGCCGGUUCAAAUCCGGCUGGGUCCACCA